Molecule: non-coding RNA, 972 nt
Filed under: Taphozous nudiventris (naked-rumped tomb bat)
Lineage: Eukaryota; Metazoa; Chordata; Mammalia; Chiroptera; Emballonuridae
Description: partial 12S ribosomal RNA
Rfam family: Bacterial small subunit ribosomal RNA
Source: RNAcentral
CAAAGGUUUGGUCCUGGCCUUAUUAUUAGCUGUUAGUAAUCUUACACAUGCAAGUAUCCGCAUCCCAGUGAAAAUGCCCUCCAACUCUUAACAGGACAAAGAGGUGCAGGCAUCAAGUACACCCUUAAUUCUAGGUAGCUCAUAACGCCUUGCUUAGCCACGCCCCUACGGGAGACAGCAGUGAUAAAAAUUAAGCUAUGAACGAAAGUUUGACUAAGUUAUACUGACAAAGGGUUGGUAAAUUUCGUGCCAGCCACCGCGGUCACACGAUUAACCCAAGCUAAUAAAUACCGGCGUAAAGCGUGUUUAAGGAUAUAGCCAAAGAUAAAGUUAAAUUCUAGUUGAGCUGUAAAAAGCCCCCGCUACUAUAAAAUAAUCCACGAAAGUGACUUUAAAACACCUGAAUACACGACAGCUAAGAUCCAAACUGGGAUUAGAUACCCCAUUAUGCUUAGCCAUAAACCUAAGAAGUUCACUGAACAAUACUACUCGCCAGAGAACUACGAGCUACUGCUUAAAACUCAAAGGACUUGGCGGUGCUUCACAUCCCCCUAGAGGAGCCUGUUCUAUAAUCGAUAAACCCCGAUAAACCUCACCAGUCCUUGCCAAUUCAGCCUAUAUACCGCCAUCUUCAGCAAACCCCAAAAGGGAAUGAUAGUAAGCACAAACACAACACAUAAAAACGUUAGGUCAAGGUGUAGCUUAUGGACUGGAAAGUAAUGGGCUACAUUUCCUUACACAAGGAUAUUAUAUUAAAACACGAAAACCAACGUGCAACCGUUAGUCUAAGGUGGAUUUAGUAGUAAACCAAGAAUAGAGAGCUUGAUUGAAUUAGGCCCUGAAGCACGUACACACCGCCCGUCACCCUCCUCAAGUACUCAAGAUCAUCUAAAACAUAUUACACGAUACAAAAUUACUAGAGGAGAUAAGUCGUAACAAGGUAAGCGUACUGGAAAGUGCGCUUGGAUAACU